UUGUAAUCUCUUUCAACUAAACUCGAAAAUGCGUACCGGGCAUAAGACCUGGGAUACAUGUAGUAGGCUGUGGAAUCAAACAAAAGCAUAGAAAAAAUUGAGGAAUGGAAAAUAAUUUGGAAAAUAUUCAUUCAGUCCCCAGGCCUCGAGUGGGGAGCAUCCAAAAUUUAAGUUUUUAUUUUAGGAAAAAAAAAUCAGAAAUUCUGUGUUAAAAAAAAAAAAAUUGUUGGUUCCUAGUUAACAAUUUUUUUGUUACUUUUUGGACUUUUGUUAUCUUCUGUCCGUUCCGCAUGGACAUCAAUUCUUGAGCCUUUGAGGGAUGGUGAUCCUUCAGACGAAGGAAAGACAUCGUGAUGGUACCUGGAAUAUCCGAUCAGUUAUGCCCUCAGUUCGGAUAUACAGUGGCUCGCAUCAAUAUCAAAUAAACAUUAUGCGGCGUGAUCAUGAUCGAAUAAAUUAAUACAUGACUCGAAGAACCGG
Drosophila miranda is the source of this 480-nucleotide long non-coding RNA. RefSeq lists it as uncharacterized. Lineage: Eukaryota; Metazoa; Arthropoda; Insecta; Diptera; Drosophilidae. The transcript has 2 exons. The record is from RefSeq and is a predicted model, not a curated record.